AAGAAAUCCUGCACCACUGGAUGAACUCUCUGUAUAAGACGUUGUGGUUUCUCUUGUAACUGUCAUAAAAGACAUUGUUUAAAAUUAGCAUGCAAACCAGCUAGCUUGGGAACCUAGUCUUGCAAUACAACCCUGUACCUCCAGUGGUGCUACACUGAAUACAAUGCAUUCAAGAGUCAAUCUCCAUACUCCAAUGGCAGAGGCAGACCCAUUAAGCCCACCAACUGUUGUUAACAACAAAAUGAUUUACCGGAUGAAAGAAAAUGCAUACUGAUGUGUAUCCUACUACAUUGUAUACUACUACUUUAUCCUACAACAAAAACAAACAACUUUAAGUAAGGGAUAAUGGACGACACGGCAGUCUGUUCACAGAAAUGAAUGCAC
Long non-coding RNA from Alosa sapidissima (American shad), 384 nucleotides. RefSeq lists it as uncharacterized. The record is from RefSeq and is a predicted model, not a curated record. The transcript is spliced from 3 exons. Lineage: Eukaryota; Metazoa; Chordata; Actinopteri; Clupeiformes; Clupeidae.